GAACCGCUCUCCUGUGUGUUGUGGUCACAACCACACGGAGCUGGGCAGUUUGAUCUGCCUAGUGCUGUCAUCACAGGUGACAUGAAGCCUGGUCAGAGCUGGAGAACCACAGAGGAAGAACUCGGAGUUCAGCUCACAAAGAGAGGAAACAGGAAGACGCUGAGUGUGUUAGAGAGAGGAAACAUCUGAUUAUCUGACGUCAGCUCAUUAAAACACAUUCACUGUGUCACCAUGAUAAUGCAGGGAGGAGUGUCAGCUGUUAUUAAAGUCAGUGUUUGUAGUCCAUCAGUGAGGAAGAGGAGGGUGAAGGAGGAAGGAGAGAGCACAGCUUCCUUUGACCGAGAAGGGUCUGGCUGGAGCCACUGUGGAGCACCAUAUUGUGACCUCCACAGUAACCGGAUACACGUGACCUCCACAGUAGCUGGAAACACGUAACCUGCAUGAAUACAGUGGAAACCUUGCAAGUGGAUCGUAAAGAUGCACAUAUCAAUUUGGAAUUCUGCCUCAAAGCCAGAAUUGCACCACGUGUUGCAGAAGACUCUUUCACUGCCCUCUGUGCCCCACUUUCAGCCCUACUGUCAGGUCAAAGAUUGAGGAGCAUAUAAAUGGACACAUUAAAAAAGCUUUGCCUUUCAAAGGGUGAGCCAUUUAUAUGGAUACACCGUAAUAACAUGGGAAUGGUUGGUGAUAUUAAAGUCCUGUUUGUGGCACAUUAGUAUAUGUGAGGGGGCAAACUCCUCAAGAUGGGUGGUGACCAUGGUGGCCAUUUAGAAGUCGGCCAUCUUGGAUACAACUUUUGUUUUUUCAAUAGGAAGAGG
Oreochromis aureus is the source of this 818-nucleotide long non-coding RNA. NCBI's taxonomy places the organism in Eukaryota, Metazoa, Chordata, Actinopteri, Cichliformes, Cichlidae. The record is from Ensembl.